Molecule: small nucleolar RNA, 138 nt
Filed under: Ornithorhynchus anatinus (platypus)
Lineage: Eukaryota; Metazoa; Chordata; Mammalia; Monotremata; Ornithorhynchidae
Source: RNAcentral
CCCCUCUCAGGGUUGCACCAGAAGACUUUCCAGUAGUCUACCAGUCUCGGCUAUGGGAGGGAGAGUCAAGCAGAGGCAUUUCCAUUCCAUUCCUAGCUUGGCCAGUGGCUAGCGAGUGGAAGGCAAUCUGCUACAAGU